This 465-nucleotide ribosomal RNA is filed under the name Vreelandella stevensii. RNAcentral describes it as "partial 16S ribosomal RNA". It matches the Rfam family "Bacterial small subunit ribosomal RNA", at positions 338 to 795 of the family's 1533-position model. Lineage: Bacteria; Pseudomonadati; Pseudomonadota; Gammaproteobacteria; Oceanospirillales; Halomonadaceae. The record is from RNAcentral.
CCUACGGGAGGCAGCAGUGGGGAAUAUUGGACAAUGGGGGGAACCCUGAUCCAGCCAUGCCGCGUGUGUGAAGAAGGCCCUCGGGUUGUAAAGCACUUUCAGUGAGGAAGAACGCCUGGUGGUUAAUACCCAUCAGGAAAGACAUCACUCACAGAAGAAGCACCGGCUAACUCCGUGCCAGCAGCCGCGGUAAUACGGAGGGUGCGAGCGUUAAUCGGAAUUACUGGGCGUAAAGCGCGCGUAGGUGGCUUGAUAAGCCGGUUGUGAAAGCCCCGGGCUCAACCUGGGAACGGCAUCCGGAACUGUCAAGCUAGAGUGCAGGAGAGGAAGGUAGAAUUCCCGGUGUAGCGGUGAAAUGCGUAGAGAUCGGGGGGAAUACCAGUGGCGAAGGCGGCCUUCUGGACUGACACUGACACUGAGGUGCGAAAGCGUGGGUAGCAAACAGGAUUAGAUACCCUUGUAGUC